GCUGGGCGCAGUGGCGCACGCCUGUAAUCCCAGCAGCUCAGGAGGCGGAGACAGGAGGAUCACGAGUUCAAAGCCGUCCUCAGCAAUUUAGCGAGGCGCUAAGCAACUCAGUGAGACCCUGUCUCUA
Molecule: small RNA, 127 nt
Filed under: Marmota monax (woodchuck)
Lineage: Eukaryota; Metazoa; Chordata; Mammalia; Rodentia; Sciuridae
Source: RNAcentral